Molecule: long non-coding RNA, 103 nt
Organism: Maniola jurtina (meadow brown)
Lineage: Eukaryota; Metazoa; Arthropoda; Insecta; Lepidoptera; Nymphalidae
Exons: 4
Source: RefSeq, a predicted model, not a curated record
AACUGAUUUUGAGGGACGUGUGGCCUAUAAUAAUUGUGAUAACGCAUAUCAAUCGAUCGCGAUUGUUAAGCAAUGAUGACCCAAGUCGGUUAAUAGAUGGGUG